This 465-nucleotide ribosomal RNA is filed under the name Vreelandella stevensii. RNAcentral describes it as "partial 16S ribosomal RNA". It matches the Rfam family "Bacterial small subunit ribosomal RNA", at positions 338 to 795 of the family's 1533-position model. Lineage: Bacteria; Pseudomonadati; Pseudomonadota; Gammaproteobacteria; Oceanospirillales; Halomonadaceae. The record is from RNAcentral.
CCUACGGGUGGCUGCAGUGGGGAAUAUUGGACAAUAGGCGAAAGCCUGAUCCAGCCAUGCCGCGUGUGUGAAGAAGGCCUUCGGGUUGUAAAGCACUUUCAGUGGGGAAGAAAGCCUUGGGGCUAAUACCCUCGAGGAAGGACAUCACCCACAGAAGAAGCACCGGCUAACUCCGUGCCAGCAGCCGCGGUAAUACGGAGGGUGCGAGCGUUAAUCGGAAUUACUGGGCGUAAAGCGCGCGUAGGCGGUCUGAUAAGCCGGUUGUGAAAGCCCCGGGCUCAACCUGGGAACGGCAUCCGGAACUGUCAGGCUAGAGUGCAGGAGAGGAAGGUAGAAUUCCCGGUGUAGCGGUGAAAUGCGUAGAGAUCGGGAGGAAUACCAGUGGCGAAGGCGGCCUUCUGGACUGACACUGACGCUGAGGUGCGAAAGCGUGGGUAGCAAACAGGAUUAGAUACCCUAGUAGUC